CAGUGGUCGGAGAUGUUGAGGAUG
RNAcentral lists this non-coding RNA (24 nucleotides) under Cricetulus griseus (Chinese hamster). Lineage: Eukaryota; Metazoa; Chordata; Mammalia; Rodentia; Cricetidae. The record is from RNAcentral.